AUGAGCAAAGGCCUUAGACUACCUGAGGGCAAGUUUUACCUAGUUGCUGGGGGUUAUGCAAACACCCAGUCAUUUCUGGCACCUUAUUGGGCCAUUUGGUACCACUUGAAGGAAUUUGGGCAUGGACACACUCGGCCACAAAACCAUAGGGAAUUGUUCAGUCAUCGACAUGUUGUUCUAUGUAACCAUGUGGAAAGGUCCAUAGGAAUUCUUAAGAAGUGCUUCCCAAUUCUUCAUGUUGGCACACUACAUACAAUCGAGAACCAAGUGAAACUUCCCGCGGUUGCCGCGGUUCUUCACAAUAUCAUCAAAAUGGAUAAUGGUGAUGAGACUUGGCUUGACAACCAACCCAAUAACAUAGCACCAAAUGAUUUUGUUGAUCUCCCAAAUGGUAAUGAGAAUAACUAUGGGAACAACGGCUUAGGGAACACUCUGAGGGAAGAAAGCUAA
Molecule: ribosomal RNA, 450 nt
Filed under: Triticum aestivum (bread wheat)
Lineage: Eukaryota; Viridiplantae; Streptophyta; Magnoliopsida; Poales; Poaceae
Description: partial small subunit ribosomal RNA
Source: RNAcentral